This 497-nucleotide ribosomal RNA is filed under the name uncultured bacterium. RNAcentral's name for it is "partial 16S ribosomal RNA". It matches the Rfam family "Bacterial small subunit ribosomal RNA", at positions 28 to 507 of the family's 1533-position model. The record is from RNAcentral.
GAUGAACGCUGGCGGCGUGCCUAACACAUGCAAGUCGAGCGAACAGAUGAGGAGCUUGCUCCUCUGUCGAUUGCCGCACACGGGUGAGUAACACGUGGAUCACCUCCCUAUAAGACUGGUAUAUCUUCGGAAAUCCGGCGCAUAUCCCAGAUAAUCUCUUGAACCGCAUGGUUCAUUAGUGAAUUUCGGCUUUUCUGUCUCUUCUCGCUGGUUCCGCGCCGCAUUAGCUAGUUGGUAAGGUAACGGCUUACCAAGGCUACGAUGCGUAGCCGACCUGAGAGGGGGAUCGGCCACACUGGAGCUGGGACACGGUCCAGACGCCUACGGGAGGCAGCAGUAGGGAAUCUUCCGCAAUGGGCGGAAGCCUGACGGAGCAACGCGGCGUGAGAGAUGAAGGUCUUCGGAGCGUAAAACUCUGUUAUUAGGGAAGAACAAAUGUGUAAGUAACUAUGCACGUCGUGACGGUACCUAAUCAGAAAGCCACGGCUAACUACGUG